UACGUAGGGUGCGAGCGUUAGUCGGAAUUACUGGGCGUAAAGCGUGCGCAGGCGGUUGUGCAAGACAGAUGUGAAAUCCCCGGGCUUAACCUGGGAAUGGCAUUUGUGACUGUACGGCUAGAGUGUGUCAGAGGGGGGUAGAAUUCCACGUGUAGCAGUGAAAUGCGUAGAUAUGUGGAGGAAUACCGAUGGCGAAGGCAGCCCCCUGGGAUAACACUGACGCUCAUGCACGAAAGCGUGGGGAGCAAACAGG
RNAcentral lists this ribosomal RNA (253 nucleotides) under uncultured bacterium. RNAcentral's name for it is "partial 16S ribosomal RNA". It matches the Rfam family "Bacterial small subunit ribosomal RNA", at positions 524 to 776 of the family's 1533-position model. The record is from RNAcentral.